Molecule: long non-coding RNA, 2856 nt
Organism: Echinops telfairi (small Madagascar hedgehog)
Lineage: Eukaryota; Metazoa; Chordata; Mammalia; Afrosoricida; Tenrecidae
Exons: 6
Source: RefSeq, a predicted model, not a curated record
CAUGGAGAAUGGACAGGAGAAGAUAAGGCCUGGAUGUGGUUUGAGAAGCUGCUGAAUGAUCCAGCACAAUGCCCGUGUGGAUAGAGAACAGGGGGCUGGAUCUGAGAUGCAUUAAUGAGGCAUCUGGGACCUGACAGUAGGGGGCUGUGGCCUCCCUUCCUGCUGCUCAAACACCUGACCUCGGUUGUCCACUGGUCCAGAGGCCACCACACAUCCACUCUGCAACUUGACCCGGAAAGUCUUCAAGGGAGAAGGCUACUAUGGCCGAGCUGGCAACUUCUUCGUAAGGAAACUGUGAAGGGGCUCUUUCUGCGAAGUCUGAGCGUCAAAGUUUCUUUGCCCUUCGCCCCUAGCCUGUCCUUGGCUCAUUUUUGUCUUCCAUUUGCAUCUCGGAGGGCGCGCUGGAGUCAAUUCCCUUCCCACCAUCAGCCACGACCCAGGAUCAUUGGACGUCCUUUUCUCAGCAACAGAGAAAUACUGACCCUCAAACCCACCUGUGAGCCCUCUCUGGCUCCACUGCCACCAUGGCACCUGUGAAAAAGCCUGUGGUGAAGGGCCACAAAAAAGGAAGCAGGUUCUGACGUUCACCCUUGAUGGCACCCACCCUGCAGAAGAUGGGACCAUGCUGCCAAUUUUGAAGAACUAGGAACUUGCCUGUGUCCUGCCCCACUUUGCACAGACAUCCGGGAGGGGCCUGCGGGGUAAGAAGCUGCACCCAGAGGCCCUUCUUGGAAGAAGAAGGUCUUCCAAACCAGGCCUCCCAUGAGGAGAUGUACUUCAAGGAACAACUUAAAGCGGCUGGAUUUCAAACUUUUAAAAACGUAAAAAACUAAUUUUAUUGCUAAUAGGAUAUUUAUAGGGACUGGAAUGUCUUGCAUUAGUCUGGGAGAAGGACUGGUAAGCUCUCCAGAUUCAACUUUAGUGAGGUCACAGGUUCUCUUCCUGGCUGGGGAAGGCUAUGGCACAGUACCUGAGGUCCGUCUCUUAUGUCGGAGGCAGGUGGCAAGCCUGCGAUAUUUGUUGGACAGGUUGACCCAGCGAGCUGUGGUAGACUUCAGUUUCUUGAUUGUAAUUGCCAAGCGUGGAAUUUUGGCACUGGGGCAGCCAAAUUCCUCAUCAGACACCAUGGGAGCCAAAUGUCUCUUUUGAGCCCGUUGUUGGUCAGGAACCUGGCUGGAGAUUGGCUCUUCUGCUUUCAUGUCGGAUGCGGUGGCCAGAGGCCGGUCCCCAAAGGAACGAUAGCCACCAAUUAGGCAGUAGACCUCCCCAUGCCAGGUCAUAUUAGCUUCUCCGUACCUGCGGUAGAGGACGUGGUAGUGCCCAGGGCUGGAGAGGUUCCUGGGAGCCACUGCUACUGGGAAGAAAAACAGAACUGAUCAGUCGCCCAUACUUUACACAGAUGCUGCCAAGACCCGCCCUCUCUCACAGACACCUCUGUUUCUAGAGGAAGUCCUCUUUAACUGGUUGGCAUUGAAAACACAGUGGGUCUAUUUCCUUUCAGGGUCCCCUAAAGGAGGCUGAUGGCUGUAAAGGGAGCUUCCUAGAUGCUGUGGCGAUUUGGAAAUCAAGUCCCCUUUCCCAGAAAAGGCACGAUCACCCCACAAGGAUUGUGGUCAGGCCCCACCUCAGCCCCACUGCCUACAACUACAUGUUCACAGAUGGCCAGUCUCAGCAUUGCUUCCUCCCCUGAGCAUGACUCCUCUGCUCUUCCCAACUCCGGCACCAUCCUUCCUAACUCUCAGUCUGAUAUGUGGCCGAGUGGACGCUCGUGGCUGUGUCAGGACAGUCCAGUAAAGGGGAAGGGUCUGGAGGUGAUCUCUGAGAAAGGCCUUCAAGAACUCUUCCUCAAACUGCUCCGUGGAUCCUUUGCCACCAAAGCGAUGCUUGGUGUUGGCUGAGAGGCUAAUCAGAAAAGGCCUGAAUGGAGGCAUCUUUUAGCCCCAGGGGGAAGUGGCUUGAUAAAUAUUAACACUUCACUUGCCCUGGAACGAAACCUUGCUUCCUGUCAAUAGUGAGUAGGCUGGGGGCUCCUUACCAGAUCAGGGACCCUUGUUACUGCUUACAGGGAACUUCUGAGUUGUGGGCAAAUCCAAAAGGAGAUGGGUGUCAGGGUGGUAAGGCUCUGUCCUUUUAAUACAGAUUCCAAACGUAGGCCUACCUGAUCCGUGGCCUUCCCAGGGGAUCCAGGACAUGUUGGCUUUAAUAUAUAAAAUGCGAUCGCACAUUCUCUCACCAGCAAACUUACGGGCUGCUGUCUUGACGAGAAAUGGUAGUGAAGUUACCCUGAGGGCACUAUGUUUUCCUAGUUACCAUGGACACUGAGUAGCUCUGUGAGGUCAUCACAAACCAGUGAUGUCCCCUAAGGGGUGGGGUGGGGCAGAUAGGUGCCCCGCAUGCAUGGGCUGUCACACCUGACCCUCUGCACUUUGUCCUAGUCAGGUAGCCACUCCCUGUGGUGCUUAGCUGAGGGGCUGGCCCAGGAAAGCAAGAGAAACCCAGACUCUGAGGUAGCCUGAGCGGCAGGCCUGAGCUAAGAAGGGAGAUGGCACUGACCCCCAGCGCCCAGCAGUUCUUGACCUAGUCCUCCUCCAAAUUGAAAUUCAUGGAAUGCUCACAUUUUUACCAGUUGAGACUUGAGGAAACCUGUGGAAUUUCUCCCAAGUUGUCUCCCCAAAAUAUAUGCCAAACCUAAGGCUCCUUGCUACACAUGGUAAAGGACUGUACACUUGGAGGUCAUUGCAAGCAGGUCAGAGGUCAUCCUCCCUAACGGUUAUCAGCCAGCUAGAACAAUCAGACUGUAUAGUCUGUCCCACCCUAAAGUAGGGCCCACUCCCUUCUGAUAAGAAUAGUAGAUUG